GUGAUGAGAGACGGCUGAGGAGCGGUGACGUGUCCUAAACCAGGCUGA
This 48-nucleotide small nucleolar RNA is filed under the name Pyrobaculum neutrophilum V24Sta. RNAcentral describes it as "PNEsR11". Lineage: Archaea; Thermoproteati; Thermoproteota; Thermoprotei; Thermoproteales; Thermoproteaceae. The record is from RNAcentral.